RNAcentral lists this ribosomal RNA (495 nucleotides) under uncultured bacterium. Its description in RNAcentral is "partial 16S ribosomal RNA". It matches the Rfam family "Bacterial small subunit ribosomal RNA", at positions 28 to 507 of the family's 1533-position model. The record is from RNAcentral.
GACGAACGCUGGCGGCGUGCCUAAUACAUGCAAGUAGAACGCUGAAGGAGGAGCUUGCUUCUCUGGAUGAGUUGCGAACGGGUGAGUAACGCGUAGGUAACCUGCCUGGUAGUGGGGGAUAACUAUUGGAAACGAUAGCUAAUACCGCAUAAUAGCAGUUGUUGCAUGAUAACUGUUUGAAAGGUGCAAUUGCACCGCUACCAGAUGGACCUGCGUUGUAUUAGCUAGUUGGUGGGGUAACGGCUCACCAAGGCGACGAUACAUAGCCGACCUGAGAGGGUGAUCGGCCACACUGGGACUGAGACACGGCCCAGACUCCUACGGGAGGCAGCAGUAGGGAAUCUUCGGCAAUGGACGGAAGUCUGACCGAGCAACGCCGCGUGAGUGAAGAAGGGUUUCGGAUCGUAAAGCUCUGUUGUAAGAGAAGAACGAGUGUGAGAGUGGAAAGUUCACACUGUGACGGUAUCUUACCAGAAAGGGACGGCUAACUACGUG